This is an RNA transcript of Cercocebus atys (sooty mangabey), 1775 nucleotides long. It is a transcript of the gene named cyclic AMP-dependent transcription factor ATF-4 pseudogene, with no coding region annotated. The record is from RefSeq and is a predicted model, not a curated record. Lineage: Eukaryota; Metazoa; Chordata; Mammalia; Primates; Cercopithecidae. The transcript has a single exon.
CCCUUGCAUCAGUGUGGCCUGGAUGUAAGACAUGGAGUCAAAGGAGGUUAUUUUGGAGCUUUAAGAAUUAAUGACGAUUUUCUGCUGUGCCCGCCCACACAUGUAGUUUCCUCCGCACGUGCGUGCCUUCCCUCCUUCCGGCCUUCAGGGUCCAUGGCCACCAUGGCGUAUUAGGGGUAGCAGUGCCUGUGGCAGCAUUGGCCUUUGCAGUGGUGGCAGCAGCACCAGGCUCUGCAGUGGCACCCACCGGCGGCUUAAGCCAUGGCACUUCUCACAGCAUUCAGCAGCAGCAUUGCUGUAACUGACAAAGACACCUUCGAAUUAAGCACAUUCCUUGAUUCCAGCAAAGCACUGCACCAUGACCAAGAUGAGUUUCCUGAGCAGUGAGGUGUUGGUGGGGGCUUGAUGUCCCCCUUUGACCAGUCAGGUUUGGGGACUGAAGAAAGCCUAGGUCUCUUAGAUGACUACCUGGAGGUGGCCAGGCACUUCAAACCUCACGGGUUCUCCAGCGACAAGGCUAAGGCAGACUCCUCCGAAUGGCUGCCUGUGGAUGGGUUGGUCAGUGCCUCCGACAAUGGCAAGGAGGAUGCUUUCUUUGGGACAGAUUGGGUGUUGGAGAAAACGGAUCUGAAGGAGUUCGACUUUAAUGCCCUGUUGGGUAUAGAUGACCUGGAAACCAUGCCAGAUGAGCUUCUGGCCACGUUGGAUGACUCGUGUGAUCUCUUUGUCCCCCUAGUCCAGGAGACGAAUAAGGAGCCCCCUCAGACGGUGAGCCCGAUUUGCCAUCUCCCAGAAAGGUGAACAAAACCCAACCAGGUUGCCCCCUUCACCUUCUUGCAACCUCUUCCCCUUUCCCCAGAGGUCCUGUCCUCCACUCUAGAUUAUUCCUGUAGUCUAGAGCUGGGAAGUGAAGCAGAUAUCUCUGAAGGAGAUAGGAAGCCAGACUUCACUGCUUACAUUUCCAUGAUCCCUCAGUGCAUAAAGGAGGAAGUCACUCCCUCAGAUAAUGAUAGUGGCAUCUGUAUGAGCCCAGAGUCCUAUCUCAGCUCUCCCCAGCACAUCCCCUCUACCUCCAGGGGCUCUCCAAGUAGGAGCCUGCCAUCUCGAGGUGUCCUCUGUGGCUCUGCCUGUCCCAAACCUUAUGACCCUCCUGGGGAGAAGAUGGUAGCAGCACAAGUAAAGGGUGAGAAACUGGAUAAGAAGCUGAAAAAAUGGAGCAAAACCAGAACAGCAGGAACUAGGUAUCACCAGAAGAAGAGGGUGGAGUAGGAGGUCCUCGCUGGUGAGUGCAAAGCCCUGGAAAAGAAGAACGAGGCACUGAAAGAGAGGGCAGAUUCCCUGGCCAAGGAGAUCCAGUACAUGAAAGAUUCGAUAGAAGAGGUCUGCAAGGCAAGAGGGAAGAAAAGGGUCCUCUAGUUGAGGGUAGUCAGGAGCAUCAGUGUGCUUGUACACAGGAGUCUCACGCUGUAGCUGUGUGUUUGAAUAAAUUAUUUUGUAGUGGAAAAAAAAAAAAGAAUUAGUGGCUGUCCUGUUGGGUUUUGGACUUGCAUGGGGCCUGUAGCCCCUUUGUUUUGGCCGAUGUCCCCCUUUUGGAAAGGGAGUCUUUACCCAAUGCCUGUACCUCAAUUGUAUCUUGGAAGUAACUAACUUGUUUUUGAUUUUACAGGCUCAUGGGCAGAAGGGACUUGCCUUAUCUCAGAUGAGACUUUGGACUGUGGAGUUUCGAGUUAGUGCUGAAAUGGGUUAAGACUUGGGGGACUGUUGAGGAAGAGAUG